RNAcentral lists this ribosomal RNA (497 nucleotides) under uncultured bacterium. Its description in RNAcentral is "partial 16S ribosomal RNA". It matches the Rfam family "Bacterial small subunit ribosomal RNA", at positions 28 to 507 of the family's 1533-position model. The record is from RNAcentral.
GAUGAACGCUGGCGGCGUGCCUAAUACAUGCAAGUCGAGCGAACAGACGAGGAGCUUGCUCCUCUGACGUUAGCGGCGGACGGGUGAGUAACACGUGGAUAACCUACCUAUAAGACUGGGAUAACUUCGGGAAACCGGAGCUAAUACCGGAUAACAUGUUGAACCGCAUGGUUCAACAGUGAAAGACGGUCUUGCUGUCACUUAUAGAUGGAUCCGCGCCGCAUUAGCUAGUUGGUAAGGUAACGGCUUACCAAGGCAACGAUGCGUAGCCGACCUGAGAGGGUGAUCGGCCACACUGGAACUGAGACACGGUCCAGACGACUAAGGGAGGCAGCAGUAGGGAAUCUUCCGCAAUGGGCGAAAGCCUGACGGAGCAACGCCGCGUGAGAGAAGAAGGUCUUCGGAUCGUAAAACUCUGUUAUUAGGGAAGAACAAAUGUGUAAGUAACUAUGCACGUCUUGACGGUACCUAAUCAGAAAGCCACGGCUAACUACGUG